Molecule: ribosomal RNA, 398 nt
Filed under: uncultured bacterium
Lineage: Bacteria
Description: partial 16S ribosomal RNA
Rfam family: Bacterial small subunit ribosomal RNA
Source: RNAcentral
AUACGUAGGGUGCGAGCGUUGUCCGGAAUUACUGGGCGUAAAGAGCUCGUAGGUGGUUUGUCGCGUCGUCUGUGAAAUUCCGGGGCUUAACUCCGGGCGUGCAGGCGUUACGGGCAUAACUUGAGUACUGUAGGGGAGACUGGAAUUCCUGGUGUAGCGGUGAAAUGCGCAGAUAUCAGGAGGAACACCGGUGGCGAAGGCGGGUCGCUGGGCAGUAACUGACGCUGAGGAGCGAAAGCAUGGGUAGCGAACAGGAUUAGAUACCCUGGUAGUCCAUGCCGUAAACGGUGGGCGCUAGGUGUAGGGGUCUUCCACGACUUCUGUGCCGUAGCUAACGCAUUAAGCGCCCCGCCUGGGGAGUACGGCCGCAAGGCUAAAACUCAAAGGAAUUGACGGGG